CACCACCUCAACCGCUUCCUGGAGACACACAGCUCCUCUGACGUCACCAUCGGACCUCGUCUCUUCCUGUCCUGUCCCAUGGACGUGGAGGGAUCCAGGGUUUGGUUCACUGACCUUUGGAACUACUCCAUCAUCCCCUACAUGCUGGAGGCCGUACGAGAGGGACUGCAGCUGUAUGGUCGCAGGGCUGCGUGGGAGGACCCUGCUGCUUGGGUGAUUGACACUUACCCGUGGUCAGCCACACCCACUCCAUCUGAUUGGCCCCCGCUGCUGCAGCUCCGC
Plectropomus leopardus (leopard coralgrouper) is the source of this 282-nucleotide non-coding RNA. The record is from RefSeq and is a predicted model, not a curated record. Lineage: Eukaryota; Metazoa; Chordata; Actinopteri; Perciformes; Serranidae.